GGAUGAAGCUGCGGCAUGCCUAAUACAUGCAAGUCGAACGAGAGGACCUUCGGGGUCUCGUAGUGGCGAACGGGUAGAGGUAACACGUAGGGAACCUGCCCGCGCACCGGGAAUACGCUACUGGAAACGGAGAACAAAUCCCGAUGUACAGGAAGGAGGCAUCUCUUUCUGUGAAACAUCCUUUAGGGGAUGGGGCGCGGAUGGACCUGCGGUGCAUUAGUUGGUUGCGGGUAAAGGCCCACCAAGACGAUGAUGCAUAGCCGGCCUGAGAGGGCGGACGGCCACAUUGGGACUGAGACACGGCCCAGACUCCUGCGGGAGGCAGCAGUAGGGAAUUUUCGUCAAUGGGCGCAAGCCUGAACGAGCGAUGCCGCGUGAGUGAAGAAGGCCCUCGGGUCGUAAAGCUCUGUUGCGGGGGAAAAAAGGCAGCAUCAGGAAAUGGGUGCUGACUGAUGGUGCCCCGCCAGAAAGUCACGGCUAACUACGUG
Molecule: ribosomal RNA, 488 nt
Filed under: uncultured Allobaculum sp.
Lineage: Bacteria; Bacillati; Bacillota; Erysipelotrichia; Erysipelotrichales; Erysipelotrichaceae
Description: bacterial SSU rRNA
Rfam family: Bacterial small subunit ribosomal RNA
Source: RNAcentral